RNAcentral lists this ribosomal RNA (684 nucleotides) under uncultured bacterium. RNAcentral describes it as "bacterial SSU rRNA". It matches the Rfam family "Bacterial small subunit ribosomal RNA", at positions 32 to 715 of the family's 1533-position model. The record is from RNAcentral.
AACGCUAGCUACAGGCUUAACACAUGCAAGUCGAGGGGUAGCAGGGUAGCAAUACCGCUGACGACCGGCGCACGGGUGAGUAACACGUAUCCAACCUGCCGAUUACUCGGGGAUAACCUCUCGAAAGAGAGCCUAAUACCCGAUGGCAUACCUGUUCCGCAUGGGACCGGUAUUAAAGGAUUUCGGUAAUCGAUGGGGAUGCGUUCCAUUAGCUUGUUGGCGGGGUAACGGCCCACCAAGGCAACGAUGGAUAGGGGUUCUGAGAGGAAGGUCCCCCACAUUGGAACUGAGACACGGUCCAAACUCCUACGGGAGGCAGCAGUGAGGAAUAUUGGUCAAUGGGCGAAGGCCUGAACCAGCCAAGUAGCGUGAAGGAUGACUGCCCUAUGGGUUGUAAACUUCUUUUAUACGGGAAUAAAGUGCGGCACGUGUGCCGUUUUGUAUGUACCGUAUGAAUAAGGAUCGGCUAACUCCGUGCCAGCAGCCGCGGCAAUACGGAGGAUCCGAGCGCUAUCCGGAUUUAUUGGGUUUAAAGGGAGCGUAGGCGGACGUUAAGUCAGUUGUGAAAGUUUGCGGCUCAACCGUAAAAUUGCAGUUGAUACUGUCGUCCUUGAGUGCGGCAUAGGUGGGCGGAAUUCGUGGUGUAGCGGUGAAAUGCUUAGAUAUCACGAAGAACUCCGAUUG